This 253-nucleotide ribosomal RNA is filed under the name uncultured bacterium. Its description in RNAcentral is "partial 16S ribosomal RNA". It matches the Rfam family "Bacterial small subunit ribosomal RNA", at positions 524 to 776 of the family's 1533-position model. The record is from RNAcentral.
UACGUAGGGUGCAAGCGUUGUCCGGAAUUAUUGGGCGUAAAGAGCUCGUAGGCGGUCUGUUGCGUCGGCUGUGAAAACCCGAGGCUCAACCUCGGGCCUGCAGCCGAUACGGGCAGACUAGAGUUCGGCAGGGGAGACUGGAAUUCCUGGUGUAGCGGUGAAAUGCGCAGAUAUCAGGAGGAACACCGGUGGCGAAGGCGGCUAUCUGGACAGAAACUGACGCUGAGGCGCGAAAGCUAGGGGAGCAAACAGG